RNAcentral lists this ribosomal RNA (438 nucleotides) under uncultured bacterium. RNAcentral's name for it is "bacterial SSU rRNA". It matches the Rfam family "Bacterial small subunit ribosomal RNA", at positions 339 to 794 of the family's 1533-position model. The record is from RNAcentral.
CUACGGGAGGCAGCAGUGGGGAAUUUUGCGCAAUGGGGGAAACCCUGACGCAGCAACGCCGCGUGGAGGAUGAAGUCCCUUGGGACGUAAACUCCUUUCGACCGGGACGAUUAUGACGGUACCGGGAGAAGAAGCCCCGGCUAACUCCGUGCCAGCAGCCGCGGUAAUACGGGGGGGGCGAGCGUUGUUCGGAAUUAUUGGGCGUAAAGGGCGCGUAGGCGGUGUCGCAAGUCGGUAGUGAAAUCUCCAGGCUCAACUUGGAGUCUGCUGCCGAAACUGCGGUGCUUGAGUAUGGGAGAGGUGAGUGGAAUUCCCGGUGUAGCGGUGAAAUGCGUAGAUAUCGGGAAGAACACCUGUGGCGAAAGCGGCUCACUGGACCAUAACUGACGCUGAGGCGCGAAAGCUAGGGGAGCAAACAGGAUUAGAUACCCUGGUAGU